RNAcentral lists this unclassified non-coding RNA (391 nucleotides) under soil metagenome. RNAcentral describes it as "partial contains 5.8S ribosomal RNA, internal transcribed spacer 2, and large subunit ribosomal RNA". The stretch from base 1 to 122 matches the Rfam family "5.8S ribosomal RNA", at positions 35 to 154 of the family's 154-position model. The record is from RNAcentral.
GAUGAAGAACGUAGCGAAAUGCGAUACUUGGUGUGAAUUGCAGAAUCCCGUGAACCAUCGAGUCUUUGAACGCAAGUUGCGCCCGAAGCCAUUAGGCCGAGGGCACGCCUGCCUGGGCGUCACACGUCGUUGCCCCCCCAUCUACUCCUUCGGGAUUGCGGGGGGCGGAUGAUGGCCUCCCGUGCGCCUCGCCGCGCGGUUGGCAUAAAUGCCAAGUCCUCGGCGACGCACGCCACGACAAUCGGUGGUUGCGAAACCUCGGUUGCCCGUCGUGUGCGGUCGUCGCGCAUCGAGGGCUCGAAAAAAUUGCCGGGUUCCGGCUCGGCUUUCAACGCGACCCCACGUCAGGCGGGGUUACCCGCUGAAUUUAAGCAUAUCAAUAAGCGGAGGA